AGCGAACGCUGGCGGCAGGCCUAACACAUGCAAGUCGAGCGCCCGUAGCAAUACGGGAGCGGCAGACGGGAUAGUAACACGUGGGAACGUACCCUUCAGUUCGGAACAACCCAGGGAAACUUGGGCUAAUACCGAAUACGUCCGUAAGGAGAAAGAUUUAUCGCUGAAGGAUCGGCCCGCGUCUGAUUAGCUAGUUGGUGGGGUAAUGGCCCACCAAGGCGACGAUCAGUAGCUGGCUGAGAGGAUGAUCAGCAUCACUGGGACUGAGACACGGCCCAGACUCCUACGGGAGGCAGCAGUGGGGAAUAUUGGACAAUGGGCGCAAGCCUGAUCCAGCCAUGCCGCGUGGAUGAUGAAGGCCCUAGGGUUGUAAGCUCUGUGGGGAGGGACGAAUAAGUGCUGGCUAACAUCCAGCGCGAUGACGGUACCUCUUUAGCAAGCACCGGCUAACUCUGUGCCAGCAG
Molecule: ribosomal RNA, 464 nt
Filed under: uncultured bacterium
Lineage: Bacteria
Description: bacterial SSU rRNA
Rfam family: Bacterial small subunit ribosomal RNA
Source: RNAcentral